CAGGCUGUCUCCACCCGAGACUCAGUGAAAUUGAACUCGCUGUGAAGAUGCAGUGUACCCGCGGCAAGACGGAAAGACCCCGUGAACCUUUACUAUAGCUUGACACUGAACAUUGAGCCUUGAUGUGUAGGAUAGGUGGGAGGCUUAGAAGUGUGGACGCCAGUCUGCAUGGAGCCGACCUUGAAAUACCACCCUUUAAUGUUUGAUGUUCUAACGUUGACCCGUGAUCCGGGUUGCGGACAGUGUCUGGUGGGUAGUUUGACUGGGGCGGUCUCCUCCUAAAGAGUAACGGA
This 293-nucleotide ribosomal RNA is filed under the name Escherichia coli. Its description in RNAcentral is "partial 23S ribosomal RNA". It matches the Rfam family "Bacterial large subunit ribosomal RNA", at positions 2012 to 2304 of the family's 2925-position model. Lineage: Bacteria; Pseudomonadati; Pseudomonadota; Gammaproteobacteria; Enterobacterales; Enterobacteriaceae. The record is from RNAcentral.